Molecule: ribosomal RNA, 331 nt
Filed under: uncultured eukaryote
Lineage: Eukaryota
Description: partial 18S ribosomal RNA
Rfam family: Eukaryotic small subunit ribosomal RNA
Source: RNAcentral
CCCUUAGAUGUUCUGGGCCGCCCGCGCGCUACACUGUUCGACGCAGCGAGUCUUAACCUUGACCGAAAGGUUUGGGUAAUCUUCAGCAAAGUCGAACGUGAUGGGGAUCGAUCAUUGCAAUUAUUGAUCGUGAACGAGGAAUUCCUAGUAAGUGCAAGUCAUCAGCUUGCGCUGAUUACGUCCCUGCCCUUUGUACACACCGCCCGUCGCUACUACCGAUUGAAUGGUUUAGUGAGAUCUCUGGAUUGACGCUGGCUAGGGGGCGACCCUUGGCCAGACUGUUGAGAAACUGCUCAAACUUGAUCAUUUAGAGGAAGUAAAAGUCGUAACA